Molecule: ribosomal RNA, 644 nt
Filed under: uncultured bacterium
Lineage: Bacteria
Description: bacterial SSU rRNA
Rfam family: Bacterial small subunit ribosomal RNA
Source: RNAcentral
UCGCGGCCUAUCAGCUUGUUGGUGAGGUAAUGGCUCACCAAGGCGACGACGGGUAGCCGGCCUGAGAGGGUGACCGGCCACACUGGGACUGAGACACGGCCCAGACUCCUACGGGAGGCAGCAGUGGGGAAUAUUGCACAAUGGGCGCAAGCCUGAUGCAGCAACGCCGCGUGAGGGACGACGGCCUUCGGGUUGUAAACCUCUUUUAGCAGGGAAGAAGCGAAAGUGACGGUACCUGCAGAAAAAGCACCGGCUAACUACGUGCCAGCAGCCGCGGUAAUACGUAGGGUGCAAGCGUUGUCCGGAAUUAUUGGGCGUAAAGAGCUCGUAGGCGGUUUGUCGCGUCUGCUGUGAAAAUCCGAGGCUCAACCUCGGACCUGCAGUGGGUACGGGCAAACUAGAGUGCGGUAGGGGAGAUUGGAAUUCCUGGUGUAGCGGUGGAAUGCGCAGAUAUCAGGAGGAACACCAAUGGCGAAGGCAGAUCUCUGGGCCGUAACUGACGCUGAGGAGCGAAAGCGUGGGGAGCGAACAGGAUUAGAUACCCUGGUAGUCCACGCCGUAAACGGUGGGAACUAGAUGUGGGGUCCGUUCCACGGAUUCCGUGUCGCAGCUAACGCAUUAAGUUCCCCGCCUGGGGAGUACGG